RNAcentral lists this ribosomal RNA (254 nucleotides) under uncultured bacterium. RNAcentral's name for it is "partial 16S ribosomal RNA". It matches the Rfam family "Bacterial small subunit ribosomal RNA", at positions 524 to 776 of the family's 1533-position model. The record is from RNAcentral.
UACGGAGGGUGCAAGCGUUGUUCGGAAUUACUGGGCGUAAAGGGCGCGUAGGCGGCCUCCGCAAGUCAAUUGUGAAAUCUCCGGGCUUAACUCGGAAAGGUCAACUGAUACUGCGGGGCUAGAGUGCGGAAGGGGCAACUGGAAUUCUUGGUGUAGCGGUGAAAUGCGUAGAUAUCAAGAGGAACACCUGCGGCGAAGGCGGGUUGCUGGGCCGACACUGACGCUGAGGCGCGAAAGCUAGGGGAGCAAACAGG